CUAGCCCUAAACGAUGAUCGCUUGGUGUAUUGGGUACCCAAUCCCAAUGUGCCGGAGCUAACGCGUUAAGCGAUCCGCCUGGGGAGUACGGUCGCAAGACUGAAACUCAAAGGAAUUGACGGGGGCCCGCACAAGCGGUGGAGCAUGUGGUUCAAUUCGACGCAACGCGAAGAACCUUACCUGGGCUCGAAAUGCAGUGGACCGGGGUGGAAACAUCCCUUCCCGCAAGGGCUGCUGUAUAGGUGCUGCAUGGCUGUCGUCAGCUCGUGUCGUGAGAUGUUGGGUUAAGUCCCGCAACGAGCGCAACCCUUAUUGCCAGUUGCCAUCAUUAAGUUGGGCACUCUGGCGAAACCGCUCCGGAUAACGGGGAGGAA
Molecule: ribosomal RNA, 374 nt
Filed under: uncultured bacterium
Lineage: Bacteria
Description: bacterial SSU rRNA
Rfam family: Bacterial small subunit ribosomal RNA
Source: RNAcentral